Molecule: long non-coding RNA, 214 nt
Filed under: Mytilus galloprovincialis (Mediterranean mussel)
Lineage: Eukaryota; Metazoa; Mollusca; Bivalvia; Mytilida; Mytilidae
Source: RNAcentral
GCCCGACAAGGGCCCAUGAUUGGUAUAAUAAAAUAAUGUCUAAUGUCUAUGGAAGUACUUAGUAGUCCAGAUAAUUAUGACGCAUUGCAAGGCAUUUUUUUCUAAGGAGAAGGGGGAAUGGAACCAAUAAAUUGAUCGGAUCCGAUAUGAUCUUCCCAGUAACGGAGCACCUAUUAACUUUGAGUAAUUAUAUUAGUGUCGGUGGUCUCACAAG